Molecule: small nucleolar RNA, 70 nt
Organism: Mangifera indica (mango)
Lineage: Eukaryota; Viridiplantae; Streptophyta; Magnoliopsida; Sapindales; Anacardiaceae
Product: small nucleolar RNA Z105
Exons: 1
Source: RefSeq, a predicted model, not a curated record
UGGGCAUUAUGAUGAUUUGUUUACCGUCUGAUUUCUAUAUGACGAAUCAAUUACCUCCUACUCAUUCUGA